This 366-nucleotide ribosomal RNA is filed under the name uncultured eukaryote. Its description in RNAcentral is "partial 18S ribosomal RNA". It matches the Rfam family "Eukaryotic small subunit ribosomal RNA", at positions 592 to 976 of the family's 1831-position model. The record is from RNAcentral.
CAAUAGCGUAUAUUAACGUUGUUGCAGUUAAAAAGCUCGUAGUUGGAUUUCUGGAGGGAGCGUCGGCCCGUAUUUACGAGUGCGUGACGUCUCUGUCCAUCCUUGCGGGAAGGCACGGCAUUGAUUUGUUGUGUCGGAUCGCAUCAUCUACUGUGAAAAAAUUAGAGUGUUCAAAGCAGGCUUUCGCUUGAAUACAUUAGCAUGGAAUAAUAAGAUAGGACUUUGGUGCUAUUUUGUUGGUUGAGCCUAAAGUAAUGAUUAAUAGGGAUAGUUGGGGGCACCUGUAUUGCGUUGUCAGAGGUGAAAUUCUUGGAUUUACGCAAGACAAACAGCUGCGAAAGCGUCUGCCAAGGAUGUUUUCAUUAA